RNAcentral lists this ribosomal RNA (2492 nucleotides) under Streptococcus gordonii. Its description in RNAcentral is "partial 23S ribosomal RNA". It matches the Rfam family "Bacterial large subunit ribosomal RNA", at positions 1 to 2515 of the family's 2925-position model. The record is from RNAcentral. Lineage: Bacteria; Bacillati; Bacillota; Bacilli; Lactobacillales; Streptococcaceae.
AAGGUUAAGUUAGUAAGGGCGCACGGUGGAUGCCUUGGCACUAGGAGCCGAAGAAGGACGUGACAAACGACGAAAUGCCUCGGGGAGCUGUAAGUAAGCGACGAUCCGUGGAUAUCCGAAUGGGGGAACCCAACAGGUAGAUGCCUGUUACCCAUAUCUGUUAAGGAUAUGAGGAGGAAGACGCAGUGAACUGAAACAUCUAAGUAGCUGCAGGAAGAGAAAGCAAAAGCGAUUGCCUUAGUAGCGGCGAGCGAAGAGGCAGGAGGGCAAACCGAAGAGUUUACUCUUCGGGGUUGUAGGACUGCAAUGUGGACUCAGAAUUUAUAGAAGAAUGACUUGGGAAAGUCAGCCAAAGAGAGUAAGAGCCUCGUAUUUUAAAUAGAUUCUGUACCUAGCAGUAUCCUGAGUACGGCGGGACACGAGAAAUCCCGUCGGAAUCUGGGAGGACCAUCUCCCAACCCUAAAUACUCCCUAGUGACCGAUAGUGAACCAGUACCGUGAGGGAAAGGUGAAAAGCACCCCGGGAGGGGAGUGAAAUAGAACCUGAAACCGUGUGCCUACAACAAGUUCGAGCCCGUUAAUGGGUGAGAGCGUGCCUUUUGUAGAAUGAACCGGCGAGUUACGUUAUGAUGCGAGGUUAAGUUGAAGAGACGGAGCCGUAGGGAAACCGAGUCUGAAUAGGGCGCAAUAGUAUCAUGACGUAGACCCGAAACCAUGUGACCUACCCAUGAGCAGGUUGAAGGUGCGGUAAAACGCACUGGAGGACCGAACCAGGGCACGUUGAAAAGUGCUUGGAUGACUUGUGGGUAGCGGAGAAAUUCCAAACGAACUUGGAGAUAGCUGGUUCUCUCCGAAAUAGCUUUAGGGCUAGCGUCGACAUCAAGAUUCUUGGAGGUAGAGCACUGUUUGGGUGAGGGGUCCAUCCCGGAUUACCAAUCUCAGAUAAACUCCGAAUGCCAAUGAAUUAUGGUCGGCAGUCAGACUGCGAGUGCUAAGAUCCGUAGUCGAAAGGGAAACAGCCCAGACCACCAGCUAAGGUCCCAAAAUAAUUGUUAAGUGGAAAAGGAUGUGGGGUUGCACAGACAACUAGGAUGUUAGCUUAGAAGCAGCUAUUCAUUCAAAGAGUGCGUAAUAGCUCACUAGUCGAGUGACCCUGCGCCGAAAAUGUACCGGGGCUAAAACAAUUUACCGAAGCUGUGGAUCCCUUAGGGGAUGGUAGGAGAGCGUUCUAUGUGUGGAGAAGGUGUACCGUGAGGAGCGCUGGAACGCAUAGAAGUGAGAAUGCCGGUAUGAGUAGCGAAAGACAGGUGAGAAUCCUGUCCACCGUAAGACUAAGGUUUCCAGGGGAAGGCUCGUCCGCCCUGGGUUAGUCGGGACCUAAGGAGAGACCGAAGGGUGUAUCCGAUGGCCAACAGGUUGAUAUUCCUGUACUAGAGUAUGAAGUGAUGGAGGGACGCAGUAGGCUAACUAAAGCAGACGACUGGAAGAGUCUGUCUAAGCAGUGAGGCGUGGUAUGAGUCAAAUGCUUAUACCUGUAACGUUGAGCUGUGAUGGGGAGCGAAGUUUAGUAGCGAAGUUAGUGAUGUCACACUGCCAAGAAAAGCUUCUAGCGAUGUAUCAUACUCUACCCGUACCGCAAACCGACACAGGUAGUCGAGGCGAGUAGCCUCAGGUGAGCGAGAGAACUCUCGUUAAGGAACUCGGCAAAAUGACCCCGUAACUUCGGGAGAAGGGGUGCUGAUUUAGGUCAGCCGCAGUGAAUAGGCCCAAGCAACUGUUUAUCAAAAACACAGCUCUCUGCUAAAUCGUAAGAUGAUGUAUAGGGGGUGACGCCUGCCCGGUGCUGGAAGGUUAAGAGGAGUGCUUAGCGGAAACGCGAAGGUAUGAAUUGAAGCCCCAGUAAACGGCGGCCGUAACUAUAACGGUCCUAAGGUAGCGAAAUUCCUUGUCGGGUAAGUUCCGACCCGCACGAAAGGCGUAAUGAUUUGGGCACUGUCUCAACGAGAGACUCGGUGAAAUUUUAGUACCUGUGAAGAUGCAGGUUACCCGCGACAGGACGGAAAGACCCCAUGGAGCUUUACUGCAGUUUGAUAUUGAGUGUCUGUGCCACAUGUACAGGAUAGGUAGGAGCCUACGAGAUCGGGACGCCAGUUUCGAUGGAGGCGCUGUUGGGAUACUACCCUUGUGUUAUGGCCACUCUAACCCGGAUAGGUGAUCCCUAUCGGAGACAGUGUCUGACGGGCAGUUUGACUGGGGCGGUCGCCUCCUAAAAGGUAACGGAGGCGCCCAAAGGUUCCCUCAGACUGGUUGGAAAUCAGUCGCAGAGUGUAAAGGUAUAAGGGAGCUUGACUGCGAGAGCUACAACUCGAGCAGGGACGAAAGUCGGGCUUAGUGAUCCGGUGGUUCCGCAUGGAAGGGCCAUCGCUCAACGGAUAAAAGCUACCCUGGGGAUAACAGGCUUAUCUCCCCCAAGAGUUCACAUCGACGGGGAG